UUCCGGGAGCUUCCAAACCCCAGUUCUACCCGCUUCGGUCCCCAUGCGCUAAAGCCCAGGCGCCCAGAUGCCUUCUGGCUCUGUAACUUCAAAGCUCCGGCUUGCCGCUUCAGGACACAAGCACCCGCCUCCUCCGGUUCCUGCGGAUUUCGUGGAUGUCACCGCGUCCCCCGCAGUUCUGUGUGUCUUCAUAAAACAUCCCUAGGAUUCCUGCUGCUGGCCUCGAGCUGGAAUUUUGAGUUUCAGAAAGGCUGAGAGUCCUUGCGCGGACGUGGCAAGGUUACUGGGCUACUUACCGAUCUAUUUGUUUGGAGACACGUUCCUGAUGUUGGUGUAACGAACUAAGGUCUUCGGAGAAAGAGAGGGAAAGACGGAGGGAGAAAAGGUCAGAAAGGACAGAAGAAAAGAGCCGGGGAAAAGGAACGUGGAGAAGAGCAGGAAACAUGUUCCCGCUGCGGGAUUGGUCCCUCUAUAGGUGUUUGUCUGUAAAACCUCACUUAUGGCUUUUCCUCGUUAGUAUAGUGAAAUCCUAUGCUCCACUGCCAUGGAUGGGUGGAAGACGCUCAGAAAAGAAUCUUAACUCACCUUCUGCCCAGCAGUACUCCUCCUUCAUCGGCCUUGUAGGAACCCCCUGAAUUUGAUCGUGGAUAAAGCGAACCCCCAAGAGUGCUGUUCAAAGCUCCUUACUUCCCCCAGAUUUUCUUCCACCUUAUUCCAUUUUUGUCCCGAAGAUUGGCUUUAUUUUCCUUAUUUUUAAAAGACAAAUAAGAGCACGCAAGAACAAUUUUUUUAUUACUUUUUUUAAGCAUGCGCUAAGGAAGCGUAUACAUCAGGUGUCCACCUUCACCAGGGUUUUGUUUUCUAAUUCUUGGUUGGCCUGUAACCCCAGCAGACCUUUAACUCCAGGAAUAAUCCUCUGGCCUCAGCCCCCCCAGAGGGUGGCUUACAGAAGUUCAUCUCCUCCGCUCCCAUUUUUUUCUCCUGGUUUAAUUUUUAUUUUGUUUUUUUGAAACAAGACUUUAUGUAUCCAAACUGA
Long non-coding RNA from Meriones unguiculatus (Mongolian gerbil), 1036 nucleotides. RefSeq lists it as uncharacterized. NCBI's taxonomy places the organism in Eukaryota, Metazoa, Chordata, Mammalia, Rodentia, Muridae. The transcript is spliced from 3 exons. The record is from RefSeq and is a predicted model, not a curated record.